This 454-nucleotide ribosomal RNA is filed under the name uncultured bacterium. RNAcentral describes it as "partial 16S ribosomal RNA". It matches the Rfam family "Bacterial small subunit ribosomal RNA", at positions 28 to 507 of the family's 1533-position model. The record is from RNAcentral.
GAUGAACGCUGACAGAAUGCUUAACACAUGCAAGUCAACUUGAACUUCGGUUUGGGUGGCGGACGGGUGAGUAACGCGUAAAGAACUUGCCUCACAGAUAGGGACAACAUUUGGAAACGAAUGCUAAUACCUGAUAUUAUGAUUAUAUGGCAUCGUAUAAUUAUGAAAGCUAUAUGCGCUGUGAGAGAGCUUUGCGUCCCAUUAGCUAGUUGGGGAGGUAACGGCUCACCAAGGCGAUGAUGGGUAGCCGGCCUGAGAGGGUGAUCGGCCACAAGGGGACUGAGACACGGCCCUUACUCCUACGGGAGGCAGCAGUGGGGAAUAUUGGACAAUGGACCAAGAGUCUGAUCCAGCAAUUCUGUGUGCACGAUGAAGUUUUUCGGAAUGUAAAGUGCUUUCAGUUGGGAAGAAAAAAAUGACGGUACCAACAGAAGAAGUGACGGCUAAAUACGUG